AAAGCAGAUCUCACAUACUUUU
Molecule: small nuclear RNA, 22 nt
Filed under: Arabidopsis thaliana (thale cress)
Lineage: Eukaryota; Viridiplantae; Streptophyta; Magnoliopsida; Brassicales; Brassicaceae
Description: snRNA_06819
Source: RNAcentral